This 72-nucleotide transfer RNA is filed under the name Thermoplasmata archaeon. RNAcentral describes it as "tRNA-Arg". It matches the Rfam family "tRNA". From Rfam's summary of the family: Transfer RNA (tRNA) molecules are approximately 80 nucleotides in length. The record is from RNAcentral. Lineage: Archaea; Methanobacteriati; Thermoplasmatota; Thermoplasmata.
GGGCUCGUGGGGUAGCGGAUAUCCUGGGGGCCUCCGGAGCCCCAUACCCGGGUUCGACUCCCGGCGAGCCCG